CCUACGGGAGGCAGCAGUGAGGAAUAUUGGUCAAUGGGCGCGAGCCUGAACCAGCCAAGUAGCGUGAAGGAAGACUGCCCUACGGGUUGUAAACUUCUUUUAUAAAAGAAUAAAGUCAGGCACGUGUGCCUGUUUGUAUGUACUUUAUGAAUAAGGAUCGGCUAACUCCGUGCCAGCAGCCGCGGUAAUACGGAGGAUCUAGCGUUAUCUGGAUUUAGUGGGUUUAAAGGGAGCGUAGAUGGGUUGUUAAGUCAGUUGUGAAAGUUUGCGGGUCAACCGUAAAAUUGCAAUUGAUACUGGCAGCCUUGAGUACAGUUGAGGUAGGCGGAAUGCGUGGUGUAGCGGUGAAAUGCUUAGAUAUCACGAAGAACUCCGAUUGCGAAGGCAGCUUACUAAACUGCCACUGACAUUGAUGCUCGAAAGUGUGGGUAUCAAACAGGAUUAGAUACCCUUGUAGUC
RNAcentral lists this ribosomal RNA (459 nucleotides) under uncultured bacterium. RNAcentral describes it as "partial 16S ribosomal RNA". It matches the Rfam family "Bacterial small subunit ribosomal RNA", at positions 338 to 795 of the family's 1533-position model. The record is from RNAcentral.